This 427-nucleotide ribosomal RNA is filed under the name uncultured bacterium. RNAcentral's name for it is "partial 16S ribosomal RNA". It matches the Rfam family "Bacterial small subunit ribosomal RNA", at positions 355 to 774 of the family's 1533-position model. The record is from RNAcentral.
UGGGGAAUAUUGCACAAUGGGCGCAAGCCUGAUGCAGCCAUGCCGCGUGUAUGAAGAAGGCCUUCGGGUAGUAAAGUACUUUCAGCGGGGAGGAAGGUGUUGAGGCUAAUAACCUCAGCAAUUGACGUUACCCGCAGAAGAAGCACCGGCUAACUCCGUGCCAGCAGCCGCGGUAAUACGGAGGGUGCAAGCGUUAAUCGGAAUUACUGGGCGUAAAGCGCACGCAGGCGGUCUGUCAAGUCGGAUGUGAAAUCCCCGGGCUCAACCUGGGAACUGCAUUCGAAACUGGCAGGCUAGAGUCUUGUAGAGGGGGGUAGAAUUCCAGGUGUAGCGGUGAAAUGCGUAGAGAUCUGGAGGAAUACCGGUGGCGAAGGCGGCCCCCUGGACAAAGACUGACGCUCAGGUGCGAAAGCGUGGGGAGCAAACA